AGACCCGAAACCCGGUGAUCUAGCCAUGGGCAGGUUGAAGGUUGGGUAACACUAACUGGAGGACCGAACCGACUAAUGUUGAAAAAUUAGCGGAUGACCUGUGGCUGGGGGUGAAAGGCCAAUCAAACCGGGAGAUAGCUGGUUCUCCCCGAAAGCUAUUUAGGUAGCGCCUCGUGAAUUCAUCUCCGGGGGUAGAGCACUGUUUCGGCUAGGGGGCCAUCCCGGCUUACCAACCCGAUGCAAACUGCGAAUACCGGAGAAUGUUAUCACGGGAGACACACGGCGGGUGCUAACGUCCGUCGUGAAGAGGGAAACAACCCAGACCGCCAGCUAAGGUCCCAAAGUCAUGGUUAAGUGGGAAACGAUGUGGGAAGGCCCAGACAGCCAGGAUGUUGGCUUAGAAGCAGCCAUCAUUUAAAGAAAGCGUAAUAGCUCACUGGUCGAGUCGGCCUGCGCGGAAGAUGUAACGGGGCUAAACCAUGCACCGAAGCUGCGGCAGCGAACGUAUCACCCAAGACAACUUUACGGAGUUGACGAUUGACGGAGCGAAGCGACGUCAAAGCGUUCAUUAAAGUCGAGUUGGCUUAGGGAUACGUUCGUUGGGUAGGGGAGCGUUCUGUAAGCCUGUGAAGGUGUGUCGUGAGGCAUGCUGGAGGUAUCAGAAGUGCGAAUGCUGACAUAAGUA
This 685-nucleotide ribosomal RNA is filed under the name Salmonella enterica subsp. enterica serovar Heidelberg. RNAcentral describes it as "partial 23S ribosomal RNA". It matches the Rfam family "Bacterial large subunit ribosomal RNA", at positions 711 to 1308 of the family's 2925-position model. RNAcentral also lists the same sequence under 4 other names. The record is from RNAcentral. Lineage: Bacteria; Pseudomonadati; Pseudomonadota; Gammaproteobacteria; Enterobacterales; Enterobacteriaceae.